UUUUAAAGAGCCGCGGUAUUUUGACCGUGCAAAGGUAGCAUAAUCAUUAGUCUCUUAAUUAGGGGCUGGUAUGAAUGGUUUGACGAGAAAUCAUCUGUCUCUUAUUAAAUUAUAGAAUUUAACUUUUAAGUUAAAAGGCUUAAAUUUUUCUUAAAGACGAGAAGACCCUAUAGAGCUUAACAUUUUAUUUUAAUAUAAUUUUUGGUUGGUUUUUUUAUAUUUAAAGAUAAUGUUUUGUUGGGGUGACAUGAAGAAUAAAUAAACUCUUCAUAAUAAAAUCAUUAAUUUAUGUUUAUAUGAUCCAUAAUUUAUGAUCAUAAGAUUUAGUUACCUUAGGGAUAACAGCGUAAUUAUUUUUAAGAGCUCAUAUCGACAAAAUAGAUUGCGACCUCGAUGUUGGAUUAAGAAUAGUUUUGGGUGCAGGAGCCCAAUAAUUAGGUCUGUUCGACCUUUAAAUUCUUACG
Molecule: ribosomal RNA, 464 nt
Filed under: Podisma carpetana
Lineage: Eukaryota; Metazoa; Arthropoda; Insecta; Orthoptera; Acrididae
Description: partial 16S ribosomal RNA
Rfam family: Bacterial large subunit ribosomal RNA
Source: RNAcentral